UUAGUCCAUCCAGUUAUUGUUUUAUUAUCAAAAAUGUAUAAAUUUUUUAUGUAUUGCUUCAAGAACAACAAAAUAAACAUUUUAUUGUAAAAUUAAUGUUUUAUUAUCGACAAUGCAAAGAUUUACAUAUCUACAGUAGCGCGUGACAAACUUUUUUCGAGUAAUAUACUAAAUUCUAUAAAACCAUGAAUCUUUAAUGAUAUCUUGUCGGUAUUUUUAAUAAUAAAAUAAUAACUGGAUGAAUUAAAAUCACCGUAUGAAUUAAAUAAUUCAUGUAAUUAUAUUUUCGAUGCAGUUAAAUGGCUGAUAAUGUUAACAUUCUCCAAUUACCUUCGGGCCCACUUGAUCACAAAAAUUACUCAGGACUGUCUGUCUUUAAUAGUAUCUCGUCGGUGACUUUAGCUAUAUAGUCCACGUUCCACAAGUUACAAUCAAUCAUAAUGUUCGCACCAAGGAGAUAAGGCGGCGUUACGUUGACGUCAUAAAUUCAAAUGAAUUGUAUUGCGCGUUUUCACAUAUGUAUAAAUGGUGCAAAAUAACACAUUUAAAAUUUGUUGACUAGGGCUAGGUUCCAAAACGGUGAAAAAUUUCCUGUGCGAGGAAAAUUUUACUCGAUGGCCGGCUUGAAACGAUCAGAAACACUUAAGAAAGUUUCGGAACGGAUAUCGGGUAAAAUAUUUCCUCGGAGAGUACGUUUUGGAAUGCAGCCUAGUUUUAUCAAAAUCGAAAUUCGAGAAACAGCAAAAUUCAUUCGCCAAAUUGUUUCUAUGGCCUGGAAUAAAGUCACAUUUUUUGACAUCCAACAGUUUUUCUGCCAACUCUGUCAUGACAGCUCCUAUAUAAACAAAAUUGUAUUCUCUCUAAUAUUAAUACAUAAACAGUAUGCAACAAAAAAUUGCAGACAUAUAAUUUUAGACAUUCGACCGAAAGAAAUGGCGGAUCUGCUAUGACCAAAUCAAAUUGACUAGACAUAUGUUUGGGCACAUUUAGAGGAGACUUGUAAUCAUAUUGUAUAAAAUCCGCACCAAAUGUCUUGAAACGACUAUCA
This is a long non-coding RNA of Cataglyphis hispanica, 1048 nucleotides long. RefSeq lists it as uncharacterized. The transcript has 3 exons. NCBI's taxonomy places the organism in Eukaryota, Metazoa, Arthropoda, Insecta, Hymenoptera, Formicidae. The record is from RefSeq and is a predicted model, not a curated record.